AAAAUUUAUUAAAUGAUAAAGUUGUAUCCUUGAAAGACAUGCUGGUAUUAUUGGCACAAUGGGCAAGCAUUAAAGUGCAACUUGGUGAACUACAAAACACAUCAAAUUCAGUUAUAAAAAUUUGAGUAACAAAGGUCAAUUAUUUGUCACAAAUUGGAGUUAAAGACGAAUGAAAUUGUAUAUGUUAUUUACUAAGAAUAGUUUUUUAAAAUGGCCUAGCUGUAAAAUUAAACUAUGCCGGAAGAGGACAAAAAUUGGAAUAGGAAAAAUGUUGAUUGCAUAUGUUGCUAUUGGUAAGUAGUUUAGAAAAAAUUAUUUUUUUAGUUUUAAUUUUGCAUUACAGAAUUACUUUCAAUUUGUUAUGUUUCUUUGGUGCAUAAUUAAACAAACAACAAUUUUUUUUGCAGACUCUGUGAAGUCAAAUAAGCAUGGCUUAUGCAGACAUGUGA
This is a non-coding RNA of Hydra vulgaris (swiftwater hydra), 449 nucleotides long. NCBI's taxonomy places the organism in Eukaryota, Metazoa, Cnidaria, Hydrozoa, Anthoathecata, Hydridae. The record is from RefSeq and is a predicted model, not a curated record.